Molecule: unclassified non-coding RNA, 300 nt
Filed under: plant metagenome
Description: partial contains 5.8S ribosomal RNA, internal transcribed spacer 2, and large subunit ribosomal RNA
Rfam family: 5.8S ribosomal RNA (bases 1-99)
Source: RNAcentral
CGAUAAGUAAUGUGAAUUGCAGAAUUCAGUGAAUCAUCGAAUCUUUGAACGCACAUUGCGCCCGCCAGUAUUCUGGCGGGCAUGCCUGUCCGAGCGUCAUUUCAACCAUCAAGCCCCCGGGCUUGUGUUGGGGACCUGCGGCUGCCCGCAGGCCCUGAAAACCAGUGGCGGGCUCGCUGUCACACCGAGCGUAGUAGCAAUCACCUCGCUCAGGGCGUGCUGCGGGUUCCGGCCGUUAAACAGCCUUACAAAACCCAAGGUUGACCUCGGAUCAGGUAGGAAGACCCGCUGAACUUAAGC